This 3073-nucleotide long non-coding RNA is filed under the name Sus scrofa (pig). RNAcentral describes it as "lncRNA (ENSSSCG00005008461.1)". Lineage: Eukaryota; Metazoa; Chordata; Mammalia; Artiodactyla; Suidae. The record is from RNAcentral.
CAGCAAGGACCUGAGGUCUGCCAUUAGUUAGAUGAAUGAGCUUAGAAGUAGAGCCUCCUCUACUUGAGCUUGGUAUUUACACCCCAGGUGACACCUUGAUUGCAUUCAUAUGAGAGAUCUUGAGUCAGAGAUACCCAAUUAAAUCACGCCUGGAUUUCUGACCCAGAGAACUUAUGGGAUAAUGUUUGUUGUGUUAAGCCACUAGGUUUUAGAGUAAUUUGUUAUGCAGCAUAUUUUGAGUGACUUUGGAACCAGGUGGUGGGUGGAGGUUGGAAAGUUUUGUUAUUGAUGAUGGAGAAAUUUCCUUGAACAGACUAUAUCGGACUGUUCAAAUUUGGGCUUUGAGGAAGCUGUAAGCGAGGGCUUAAAAGGAAAUGAAAAGGGUAUUAUUGAAGCUGGAGAAAGGGAGAUCCUUGUUUUGUUGAGACAGAAAACUUAGCAACACUCUUGACAGUAGUUGAGUGGAAAGUACGAAUUGUGCCUAAUGAACUGGAUGAUCUAGGAGAUCUAAGGGGAUUUCUAAACAAAGUGUUGAAGGUACCAACAGGUUUCUUCUUGCUGCUUAUAGCAAAAUAUGUGAGGUGCCCAUGAGUCCUCCUCUUACAUGGACCUACCACUCUUCUAUUUCUUUUUUUCUUUUUUUUUUUUUUUUUUUUUUUUUUUAGUUUUUGGUGUAAUUUUAUUUUAUUAAAAUUUUUUUUGAUUUUUUUUUGUUUUUUGUCUUUUUAGGGCUGCAUCCAUAGCAUUUGGAGGUUCCCAGGCUAGGGGCUGAGUUAGAGCUACGGCUGCUGGCCUAUACCACAGCCACAGCAACGUGGGAUCCAAGCCGUGUCUGCGACCUACACCAUAGCUCAUGGCAAUGCUGGAUCCUUAACCACUAGGCUAGCAGGGAACUCCUUCUGCCUAUUUUUUGAUUGGGUUGUGAGUUUUUGUUACUGAGUUUUAUGAGCUGUUUGUAUAUUUUGGAAAUUAAGCCUUUGUCGGUCUCAUUAUUUGUAAAUAUUUCUCUGAGACUGUAGGUCAUCUUUUUGUUUUAUUUAUGAUUUCCUUUCUGGGCCCAUAAGUUUGAUUAGGUCCCAUCUUCUAAUAUUUAUCUACUAUGUUGUAUACACUUUAUCUAUAUUUCUGACUUGUCUGUGAGUUCUGGAGGCCUUCUAAUAUGAUAGUUUACCUCUUGCUAAGAGUCUAGUUUUAAAGGGAUCUACACUCAAGCCUUGGCUCUACCUUUUACUGUGUAAUGGAAACAAGUUACUUACCUUUUCUGAAUCUCAGUUUUCUCAUCUGGAGGAUGGGAUUAAUAAUAUACUCCUAAAGAUUGUGCAUUUGGAGUUUUGUGCUCACUACUGUAUCACCAGUACCUAGAGGAGUAGGGACCCAUAACAGGUCCUUAAUAAGGAUAUAUUGAAUUAAUGAAUUGAAUAAUCUAUACCUCAGAAUGUUAUUCUGUAUUAUAAAUGAAGUAUUGCAUGGAGAGCAGUUAGCACAAUGCCUAAUAAAUAUUACUUGCUCAGUGCUGUUUUUAUUUAGGCGUUGCAUUUUUUUCUCAUUAUUUUUCAUUUUCAUUUUUUCCUCAUUAAGUUUAUAAUUCUAUAUGCAUCGUAAACUGUUUCGUACAUAAAAUGACUCCUAAGCAAUAGAUUUAUUUGUAGUCCUAGAUCAUACAUCAGGAAUCACUUGAGUUUAAAGUGCGAUUACUUGGACAUGAAGUGACUUCUGCUCCUGGCCAUAAGGAGAAGCAGUCUCUGAACUUAACCUGUUAUGGUAAACGAUGAGCAAAUAGGACAAAGGAUAUAAAAUAUUUUUAGAUAUUGGACAACAGGUAGUGUGAGAAUGUGAUUCUUAAGAAAAAGGAAACAGGUAAAGUGAGUGCUAUAAUUACCCUGGAUUUCUGCUAAGAGACAUUUCAGACCAUGGUAUAGGCAGGGGGAAAAUCUUAGUCAGGGCAUGAUGACUUGUUUAAUUGGUGAGAUAGAGAAUGUAGUUCAGAGAGGUCGAAAUGGCUAAAAAUUGCUGACAGAGAUUCAGGGAAGAGGGAACUGAGUAGAAAAAAAUUCUUGAAGUUGCAUAGGGGUUUUCUUUAGCCUUUGCUAAGAGUGUGUAGAAUGUCUGUAUAUAAAAUGAAACUCUGUGAUACUGGGCAAGGACUGACUGGAGAGCCACAAGUUGAGUAAUUUCCAGAGCUAGGGAGUUGCUCAGGCACUGGCUAUGGCUAGACAAAGUGGUGAGAUCUUUUUGAUCAUCCAAGAUGUUUAGUUAGCGACCCCCAAAUGUCCAUACCUUGGUGGUAGGGCUAACCUAGCCUGAAGUAAAGUCCAUUCCCGGUUUGUCCUAAAACAUAGCAAACUUCGAAGAUCAAGCUGAUGCACAAGUUUCUUAAUUGACUUUCAAAACAAAGCUCAACAAUCUUUAAAGGAAAAUAACAAAACCCAGACACUUAAAUGAAUAACACUGCACAGCAUCCAGUGAAAAAUUAUUAGAAUUUGGAAAAUGGAACACCAGGGGAAAACUUAAGGCAGGGAAAAUAGAUUAAGAAUAACAAAGAUGAUAGAAUUAGCAAAAGCUAUUAUUUAUUUAUUAAUUUUGCCUUUUAGAGCCAUGCCCAUGGCAUAUGGAGGUUUCCAGGCUAGGGAUGAAUCAGAGCUGUAGCUGCCAGCUUACACCACAGCCACAGCAGGGCCAGAUCUGAGUUGCAUCUGUGAUCUAUACCACAGCUCACAGCAACUCCACAUCCUAAACCCACUGAGCGAGGCUAGAGAUUGAACCUGCAUCCUCAUGGAUACUAGUCAGCUUUGUUUCCACUGAGCUACAAUGGGAACUCCAGCAAAAAAUUUUAAAUGGGCAUUAUAAAUAUGUUCAGAGGAGUUCCUUUUGUGGCACAGAAGAAACAAAUCAGACUGGUAGCCAUGGGGUUUUGGGUUUGGUCCCUGGCCUUGUUUGGUGGGUUCAGGAUCUGGCAUUGCCAUGAGCUGUGGUGUGACUUAUGGACUUGACUCGGAUCCUGUGUUGCUGUGGCUAUGCGUGGGCCAGUGGCUCUAGCUCCAGUUUGACCCCUAGCCUGGGAACCUCCAUGUGC